RNAcentral lists this ribosomal RNA (294 nucleotides) under uncultured bacterium. RNAcentral describes it as "partial 16S ribosomal RNA". It matches the Rfam family "Bacterial small subunit ribosomal RNA", at positions 775 to 1067 of the family's 1533-position model. The record is from RNAcentral.
GGAUUAGAUACCCUGGUAGUCCACGCCCUAAACGAUGUCAACUAGCUGUUGGGGCCUUCGGGCCUUGGUAGCGCAGCUAACGCGUGAAGUUGACCGCCUGGGGAGUACGGUCGCAAGAUUAAAACUCAAAGGAAUUGACGGGGACCCGCACAAGCGGUGGAUGAUGUGGAUUAAUUCGAUGCAACGCGAAAAACCUUACCUACCCUUGACAUGUCUGGAAUGCCGAAGAGAUUUGGCAGUGCUCGCAAGAGAACCGGAACACAGGUGCUGCAUGGCUGUCGUCAGCUCGUGUCG